RNAcentral lists this ribosomal RNA (919 nucleotides) under Salmonella enterica. RNAcentral's name for it is "partial 23S ribosomal RNA". It matches the Rfam family "Bacterial large subunit ribosomal RNA", at positions 712 to 1547 of the family's 2925-position model. RNAcentral also lists the same sequence under 1 other name. Lineage: Bacteria; Pseudomonadati; Pseudomonadota; Gammaproteobacteria; Enterobacterales; Enterobacteriaceae. The record is from RNAcentral.
GACCCGAAACCCGGUGAUCUAGCCAUGGGCAGGUUGAAGGUUGGGUAACACUAACUGGAGGACCGAACCGACUAAUGUUGAAAAAUUAGCGGAUGACCUGUGGCUGGGGGUGAAAGGCCAAUCAAACCGGGAGAUAGCUGGUUCUCCCCGAAAGCUAUUUAGGUAGCGCCUCGUGAAUUCAUCUCCGGGGGUAGAGCACUGUUUCGGCUAGGGGGCCAUCCCGGCUUACCAACCCGAUGCAAACUGCGAAUACCGGAGAAUGUUAUCACGGGAGACACACGGCGGGUGCUAACGUCCGUCGUGAAGAGGGAAACAACCCAGACCGCCAGCUAAGGUCCCAAAGUCAUGGUUAAGUGGGAAACGAUGUGGGAAGGCCCAGACAGCCAGGAUGUUGGCUUAGAAGCAGCCAUCAUUUAAAGAAAGCGUAAUAGCUCACUGGUCGAGUCGGCCUGCGCGGAAGAUGUAACGGGGCUAAACCAUGCACCGAAGCUGCGGCAGCGAACGUAUCACCCAAGACAACUUUACGGAGUUGACGAUUGACGGAGCGAAGCGACGUCAAAGCGUUCAUUAAAGUCGAGUUGGCUUAGGGAUACGUUCGUUGGGUAGGGGAGCGUUCUGUAAGCCUGUGAAGGUGUGUCGUGAGGCAUGCUGGAGGUAUCAGAAGUGCGAAUGCUGACAUAAGUAACGAUAAAGCGGGUGAAAAGCCCGCUCGCCGGAAGACCAAGGGUUCCUGUCCAACGUUAAUCGGGGCAGGGUGAGUCGACCCCUAAGGCGAGGCCGAAAGGCGUAGUCGAUGGGAAACGGGUUAAUAUUCCCGUACUUGGUGUUACUGCGAAGGGGGGACGGAGAAGGCUAUGUUGGCCGGGCGACGGUUGUCCCGGUUUAAGCGUGUAGGUGUGUGUUCCAGGUAAAUCCGGUU